AGUUAUGGAUUGCCACAGGCAUGCAUGAACCAAAGGAGAGAUGAAACAUUAAUGUAGGACAAGCUUGUUUUUAUAUAUAAAACAGAAAGCUUUUUUUUUAAAAAAAAUUACGUGUGAAUUUCUAGGCUGUUGGUAUUUUGCCUUGAUCAAAUUUGGGGCAAUUGCUUUGAGGAUUGGAUGAGUCUUAAUGGCUAUAGCUUGCCUGAAACAAGGCUUGUUUGGGCUAUUAAUGUUAUGAAUUCCUCUCUGUGUUUUUUAGGCACAGGCUCAAGCAUUAAAGAUGCCAGCUUGGGUCCUGAAAUGCAGUGGUGGGUGAAGCUUUUAUUUUGCAUUCACUCUUUUUCCUGGCAGCCCCUCAAGCUAUCCUGAACAGGCUGGGCUAUGAUGUGAUGGGAAACAGAUAAAAACUGAGCAUGGGUACCUGCCUAUUCCAUUCAGGAGAGUCCCCUUACCUGAGACAGGCUUUUGGGUGGUCAGUGGGCUGCCCAUCCCGUUCUGCUUGCUCUUCUAUGGAUUUGAACAGUCCAUUUUUAUAAUCUUGCACCUCACAAUUUGCCUUUUAAGAAUAGGUCUUAAAAGUACAGUAACAGUACAACUGACUGAAUUUUAAAAAAAUUACUACUCUACUGUUACCAAUGCUGAAUAGCAACAGAAUAGAAUAGCCAUAUAAAAAGUUAGGAUUGCAGCCUUUGUUGAAAUGAUUCACAUCUUUUUUUCUCUAAUAGAUUGCACUACGCAUGUGCUUAGGUAAUAUUGGCUUAACAGAACUGUGACCACUGAAUUGUCAAACCUCAGAUAUCACAUGCAAGAAGCCAAAGCUUACUAAAACUACAAAGAGUGCAUUAUUUUAGAGAGCUACUGAUUGGGCAUGUCAGAAGCACAACCAAGGCACAACUUCCGAGUCCCAACUCUCACAUACCUGCAAUGGAAUGGAUGUUUUGACCUGAAAUGUGACAGCAUCACUUCAGGAAACAGUGUGAAAUGCCAAAAGAAGGCCACUUUUAGACACAUGCCUGCUUAAUAAAGAGGUGGACUCUGAUCAAAAACCCUACAGAAUUGCUGGCAGAUCCAGUUUGUGAUGAAGGCAACUAUUUCUCCCGAGCUGGUUUCAACAUUGCAAGAUGGAAGUGAAAUUGACAAGACAUGAGUGCAAUGAAGAGUCAAAGGCACUGGGUGAAUAGAAACAGGACACAAUUUUAUUAAUAAGAAACUUGUAUUCAGAAGCAUUUGCAACUAUGAAGGCAGAACUGUAUUAGACUGGGUUCUCUCUCAGCCCUACCUGGAGAUGCCAAGGUUCGAAAAACAGGGAUCUUCUGCAUGCAAAGAAGAUGCUGUACCACGGAUCCCUUCCCCUGGGGUGAGAGAUCAUGCACAUGAAAUGUGGAAAUGGGGUGGAACCGACUUCCUUGUGAGCAGAUGUGACAGGGACAUGAACUAGAUUUAUACUGAUCUGUCUAUCCAUUGAAACACUCUACAAAGUGUUACGGAAAUGCUGAAUAUUGCUUUGAGGCAUCCCAUAGUCUUCUUAUGUGAAUAGGCAGAGGAGGCAAGGGAAGGCUCAAUAUGAUCCCUCAAUUGAUUGGCUAUCAGUAUGGCAUAUAAUGGCUUUUGCAGUUUUUCUUGUGCUAACACAUCUCCAGAAAAUGCCUCUUUAACCCAUUUGAAUGUAAAUAACAUAAAGAAUGUGAAGAAAAUGGAGUAAUAUAGUUUAUAAAAAUACAAAAUGCAAUUUUAAGUUACAGUGAAGUGAAUAAAAUAUGGAUCCAAAAUUUGCUCUUUUUUUAUGAAACUCAUUCAUCUUACUAAUGCUUUAUUGGCUAUGUGAGUGUUUCAGCGCAUAAGAAAAAUUGAUCCCAGGAGCUGUCUUUCUAUAAAUGCUUUGGUGAUCUCUUUU
Non-coding RNA from Zootoca vivipara (common lizard), 1894 nucleotides. The record is from RefSeq and is a predicted model, not a curated record. NCBI's taxonomy places the organism in Eukaryota, Metazoa, Chordata, Lepidosauria, Squamata, Lacertidae.